UACGUAAGGGGCAAGCGUUGUCCGGAAUCAUUGGGCGUAAAGCGCGUGUAGGCGGCCCGAUAAGUCCGCUGUGAAAGUCCAGGGCUCAACCCUGGGAUGCCGGUGGAUACUGUCGGGCUCGAGUCCGGAAGAGGCGAGUGGAAUUCCUGGUGUAGCGGUGAAAUGCGCAGAUAUCAGGAGGAACACCAAUGGCGAAGGCAGCUCGCUGGGACGUGACUGACGCUGAGACGCGAAAGCGUGGGGAGCAAACAGG
Molecule: ribosomal RNA, 253 nt
Filed under: uncultured bacterium
Lineage: Bacteria
Description: partial 16S ribosomal RNA
Rfam family: Bacterial small subunit ribosomal RNA
Source: RNAcentral